Molecule: non-coding RNA, 21 nt
Filed under: Arabidopsis thaliana (thale cress)
Lineage: Eukaryota; Viridiplantae; Streptophyta; Magnoliopsida; Brassicales; Brassicaceae
Source: RNAcentral
AUUUGUGCAAUACUCAACUGC